This 253-nucleotide ribosomal RNA is filed under the name uncultured bacterium. RNAcentral's name for it is "partial 16S ribosomal RNA". It matches the Rfam family "Bacterial small subunit ribosomal RNA", at positions 524 to 776 of the family's 1533-position model. The record is from RNAcentral.
UACGUAGGGUGCGAGCGUUAAUCGGAAUUACUGGGCGUAAAGCGUGCGUAGGCGGUUCGUUAAGUCUGCUGUGAAAGCCCCGGGCUCAACCUGGGAAUGGCAGUGGAUACUGGCGAGCUAGAGUGUGAUAGAGGAUGGUGGAAUUCCCGGUGUAGCGGUGAAAUGCGUAGAGAUCGGGAGGAACAUCAGUGGCGAAGGCGGCCAUCUGGAUCAACACUGACGCUGAGGCACGAAAGCGUGGGGAGCGAACAGG